Molecule: ribosomal RNA, 480 nt
Filed under: uncultured bacterium
Lineage: Bacteria
Description: partial 16S ribosomal RNA
Rfam family: Bacterial small subunit ribosomal RNA
Source: RNAcentral
AUGCACGCUGGCGGCGUGCCUAACACAUGCAAGUCGAGCGAAGCACUUACUUUAGAUUUCUUCGGAAUGACGAAGUUUGUGACUGAGCGGCGGACGGGUGAGUAACGCGUGGGCAACCUGCCCUGUACAGGGGGAUAACAGUUAGAAAUGACUGCUAAUACCGCAUAAGCCCACAGCUUCGCAUGAAGCAGUGGGAAAAACUCCGGUGGUACAGGAUGGGCCCGCGUCUGAUUAGCUAGUUGGUAAGGUAACGGCUUACCAAGGCGACGAUCAGUAGCCGACCUGAGAGGGUGACCGGCCACAUUGGGACUGAGACACGGCCCAAACUCCUACGGGAGGCAGCAGUGGGGAAUAUUGCACAAUGGGGGAAACCCUGAUGCAGCGACGCCGCGUGAGCGAUGAAGUAUUUCGGUAUGUAAAGCUCUAUCAGCAGGGAAGAAAGUGACGGUACCUGACUAAGAAGCCCCGGCUAACUACGUG